GCGGGCGUAGCUCAGUUGGUAGAGCACCACGUUGCCAACGUGGUUGUCGUGGGUUCGAAGCCCAUCGCCCGCUCCA
RNAcentral lists this transfer RNA (76 nucleotides) under Candidatus Omnitrophota bacterium. Its description in RNAcentral is "Candidatus Omnitrophica bacterium tRNA-Gly". It matches the Rfam family "tRNA". Rfam says of the family: Transfer RNA (tRNA) molecules are approximately 80 nucleotides in length. Their secondary structure includes four short double-helical elements and three loops (D, anti-codon, and T loops). Further hydrogen bonds mediate the characteristic L-shaped molecular structure. tRNAs have two regions of fundamental functional importance: the anti-codon, which is responsible for specific mRNA codon recognition, and the 3' end, to which the tRNAs corresponding amino acid is attached (by aminoacyl-tRNA synthetases). tRNAs cope with the degeneracy of the genetic code in two manners: having more than one tRNA (with a specific anti-codon) for a particular amino acid; and 'wobble' base-pairing, i.e. permitting non-standard base-pairing at the 3rd anti-codon position. Lineage: Bacteria; Pseudomonadati; Candidatus Omnitrophota. The record is from RNAcentral.